This 671-nucleotide ribosomal RNA is filed under the name uncultured bacterium. Its description in RNAcentral is "bacterial SSU rRNA". It matches the Rfam family "Bacterial small subunit ribosomal RNA", at positions 99 to 765 of the family's 1533-position model. The record is from RNAcentral.
CGGACGGGUGAGUAACGCGUGGGAAUCUGCCCUUUGGUGGGGGAUAGCCCGGGGAAACUCGGAUUAAUACCGCAUAAGCCCUUUUGGGGAAAGACGGCCUCCGUUGCAAGCUGUCGCCGAAGGAUGAGCCCGCGUCAGAUUAGUUAGUUGGUGGGGUAAAGGCCUACCAAGGCUGCGAUCUGUAGCUGGUCUGAGAGGAUGAUCAGCCACAUCGGGACUGAGACACGGCCCGAACUCCUACGGGAGGCAGCAGUGGGGAAUCUUGGACAAUGGGGGCAACCCUGAUCCAGCCAUGCCGCGUGUGUGAAGAAGGCCUUCGGGUUGUAAAGCACUUUCAGCGAGGAGGAAAAGGCAGGUGUUAAUACCACUCUGUUUUGACGGUACUCGCAGAAGAAGCACCGGCUAAUUUCGUGCCAGCAGCCGCGGUAAUACGAAAGGUGCAAGCGUUAAUCGGAAUUACUGGGCGUAAAGGGCGCGUAGGCGGCGCGUUCAGUCGGCUGUGAAAGCCCCGGGCUCAACCCGGGAAUUGCAUCCGAUACUGGCGUGCUAGAGUGCAGUAGAGGGAGGUAGAAUUCCAGGUGUAGCGGUGAAAUGCGUAGAGAUCUGGAGGAAUACCAGUGGCGAAGGCGGCCUCCUGGACUGACACUGACGCUGAGGCGCGAAAGCGUGGG